CCGCAAGAUGGCGGCGGCUGGAGUGGCCCGUUUGAGGCGGGCGGCCUCAGCCGUGUUGCUCCGGGCCCUGCGCCUGCCCGCCCGGGAGCUCUCAGCUCCCGCUCGACUCUAUCACAAGAAGGUGGUUGAUCAUUAUGAAAAUCCCCGGAACGUGGGGUCCCUUGACAAGACAUCUAAAAAUGUUGGGACUGGAUUGGUGGGGGCUCCAGCGUGCGGUGACGUCAUGAAAUUACAGAUUCAAGUGGAUGAAAAGGGGAAGAUCGUGGACGCCAGGUUUAAAACAUUUGGCUGUGGUUCUGCCAUUGCCUCCAGCUCGUUAGCCACCGAAUGGGUGAAGGGGAAGACGGUGGAGGAAGCCUUGACCAUCAAAAACACAGACAUCGCCAAGGAGCUGUGCCUGCCGCCCGUGAAGCUGCACUGCUCCAUGCUAGCUGAAGACGCCGUCAAGGCCGCCCUGGCUGAUUACAAACUGAAGCAAGAACCCAAAACAGGAGAGGCCGAGAAGAAGUGAGCCCCGGGUGAGGGGGCCUCAGGCCCCACAGGCUGCCAGCGGCCCAGCCACGCGGUCACGUGGGUGUGCAGAAGCCCUCACACUACAAUAAAAGCGCUCUGAGAUCCGCACAGCCUUUGCUGCUCACGUUGCCAGUCUAACUCAAGCAAAUACACAGCCUAAUUCUGAACCCUGUGGUUUCCUGCAGCUCACGUUCAUCGCCUUAACCUUGCGUGUGUCUAGUUCGAUUUGUGUGUAUGACCUCAAA
This is a non-coding RNA of Odocoileus virginianus texanus, 758 nucleotides long. The record is from RefSeq and is a predicted model, not a curated record. Lineage: Eukaryota; Metazoa; Chordata; Mammalia; Artiodactyla; Cervidae.